This is a long non-coding RNA of Tribolium castaneum (red flour beetle), 6426 nucleotides long. RefSeq lists it as uncharacterized. NCBI's taxonomy places the organism in Eukaryota, Metazoa, Arthropoda, Insecta, Coleoptera, Tenebrionidae. The record is from RefSeq and is a predicted model, not a curated record. The transcript is spliced from 5 exons.
AGAUCAACUUGAAAAUGUACCUAUAUCAAAGAAAAGGAAAGUAACAGAUUCAUAUGAAAAUAGUGAAAGAUAGAACCCAUGCCUCAUAAUAAAAACAAGUGUCCUCCAGGUCAAAUGUCAGAUCGUCAUGGAAAUUGUAGAGAAGUGUACCGUAAAUAAGCAAUGGUUCGACUAAAGCAAGUUAGUGAUGUAAAGCAAAAAUUGGUAAACGAGAUAUUUAAACCUGCACGCAGGAAUUUUAAACGAAGACGUACUAUAAUUAAAGGAUUGGAUGAUUUAUGUCGUAAUCGACUGUUUUUCUAAAUUUUUAUGGACCAGACCACUGAAAUCGAAAUCAGCUAAUGAGGUUAGCAGAGCUAUGGAAUCAAUACUGAAGAAUGAAAAAGAACGAAUACCAAAGAAUUUACAGUCAGAUCAAGGAAAGGAAUUUUAUAAUACCACUUUUCAGGAUUUGAUGAGACGUUAUAAUAUUAAUCACUAUAGUACGUACAGCGUUAAAAAAGCAGCAAUUGCUGAACGAGUUAUACGUACUUUAAAAUCCAAAAUUUAUCGAUAUUUUACGUUAUUUGCGACACAUAAAUGGAUAAAUAAAUUGCAAGAGAUAACCAAAAAUUAUAAUACUACAAUACAUCGAACAACAGGAAGGAAACCCACAGAGAUAAACGCUUCGAAUCAAGGAGACAUAACAGCAUAUGAUCAUCUAAAGAUUGUUGAUAAAAACAGAAAAAAAUUUAAAGUCGGAGAUUUCGUAAGAAUUAGCAAAGAAAAGAUGUUAUUUGAAAAAGGAUAUACACCCAAUUGGUCAACGGAAAUUUUUAAAAUCAGUAAGAUUAAUCUAACCAAUCCUGUAACAUUUCUGCUAGAAGAUAAAGAAGGUCAACCAAUCAAAGGAGCUUUUUAUAUUUGGGAAUUAUCAAAAACUCAAUAUCCUGACGUCUAUUUAGUUGAGAAAGUGAUUCGACGUAAAGGAACUAAAUUAUUUGUGAAAUGGUUAGGUUUACCAGAUAAUCAGAAUAGUUGGAUUGAAAUGAAAGAUAUUACCUAAUAAAUAAGAAAUAUAUAUACGAUAUAAUUAUUUAACGUCUAAUUUAGUUCCAUUUAAGAUGGCAACGAGUGUAGAACCUGUUAUAAAAAAAGUGCUGCAUUUUGAAAAAACCAUAAGCGAUAUUCGAUUACUAAUGAAACUGGAACUACUGAAAUUAGGACCGUGCCAGUUGAUGGAUAUAUUUCAUAAAUUACCGGAAACAUAUCAACAAGAUCAUGAUAUAAAGCUGAAUCUACCAUGUUUACAACAUUAUUAUAACAGUUUUGACGAAGAUCAGUUUGAUGGUCCUCCUUCAUCAAUAAAUAAUUGUGUUUCGUGUAUUUUAGAUGAUACAGGAAGCCAACAACAACAACAACAACAACAACAACAACAACAACAACCCACUGCGUUUCAAGUGUAAUGCCUCUUUUGAACUCAUCACUCAUCUUGUUUGUUACUCUUAUACAAAAUGUGUUGUACGUGCAAAAACCGUUAGAUGUUGUAGAUAUGUACAUCGUCUUCACUAGUGAAAGUCCUAACAACACAAGAUGGUCUCCUCUCUGGAAAAGUUUAUUUUUCAACGAUGUUGAUUACCAAUGGAAGAAGAUGAAUCUGGGUUAUUUGAGCAAUACUGCAAUAGAAAUAUUUAAAUAUGAAAAUGUUUCUAUAGCAAACUCUGUAAUAUAUUUUAAAUUAAGACUAGUUUUUACCAAUAGUAAUUAUAUUGAUACUGACUGGAAGAGACUUAUACUUAAUGAUCAUGAUGUAGUUUCAAUAAAAAAUUGUUUUAAUCAUGUUCCUACCUUUUUAGCAAUGUUUGGAAUUGUUUGUACAUGUUGGAUCGUUUUUAUGAUGUUCAUAGCGUUAGGUUUGGCUUAAAAACUGCAAUUAAAAAUUUAUUUAGGUGUAUGACUUUGUUAGUUUAAGUAUGUAGUUUGUUUUAUGUCUAAUAAAAAAUAAUAUUCAUUCUGAUUAUUUUUGUUAUCAUAUUUCCUGUCUAACGUUUUUUUCCUUAAAAACGUUAAAUUUUUAUCAGUUAUAUUUUGAAUUUUUUGAAUUUUUACGUAAGGAACCACAAUAUCCGGUUGCAAAGUUUAUGGAAUAUAAAAUCAUAUCGCAUCAAUGAUUAAUUCAUUUCUACUUCGACUGUCCGUGUAUGAAAGUAAUCAUGUUCAAGUGCUCUCAAUGCGAUAACAAGUUUACUCGCAAAGAUGCUUUAACACGUCAUGUAAAAAAACAUAGUGAUAAAUUAUCUAAACUCACUUGCACCGGAUGUAAAACGUCAUUUACGAGAUUUGAUAACUAUAGGCGUCAUAUUACAAAUUCAUCAUUGUGUUCAAUGGAUUCGGAUGAUAUGACUCCUAAAAAAGCCCGCCUGACAACUAGAACACCUUUACAAGAAGUUACUACUAACGCUCCAUCAUGUUCAUUUCAUCAAUUUUGUGAAAUAUGCAAUAGUCACUACAGAGGAUCCAGAUUAAACCAUUUACGUUCUUUAAAACAUAAAAGUGUCAUCUCCGCCAAAAUUAAUGAUGAUGAUGAUUUCGUUGAAGAAUAUCAAGUUGCCUUCAAAUCAAGAAUUACCUCAUACCGAUUGAAAAAUUCACAACUAGAUGACUUGGAAGUGUGCAAUUUUUUUGAAAGAAAUCAAGAUAAACUUAUCACUUUAAUAACUAGAAAACUGAGAGAAUUUAACCAACUUAAAAUUAAUUUCGAACUUUUUGCUAAAUAUAUUUUACCUUCUAAAGACAUUAUCGAAAUCAAAUCAUUCAACACUAAAAAUAUCAUCAUUUCAAUAUCGACAAAUAUUAAGGUAGAACUGGAAGAAAUAUGUGGCGUCAUAAAAAACAAAAUGAGUGAAUUCUUGGAAAAAGAUAGUGGUUGGAUUUUAAUGGAAAUUUUGUUUUUGGAACUUAAUAUCAACAAAUUCAAUCCACUACGUGCAUCAACAUAUAUACCAUUACCGAAGGACAUAGCGAAGCGGAGAGCGGUUAUCAAUAUUCAUAAUGAUGAUAAUGAAUGUUUCAAAUGGUCUGUUUUGGCACACCUUCAUUCAACUGAAGUAAAUGUUAAUCGACAUCGAGUUGAUGCUUAUCGUGAGUUUGAAGAGGAAUUAGAUUUUACAGAUAUUUCAUUUCCGGUUAAAUUAACUGAUAUUUUUAAAUUUGAAGCACUUAAUAAUAUUAGUGUAAAUGUCUAUGGAACAGAGCAGCGUUUUGAUCAUGAAAAAGGUAAAUGGGUAUCAGAUAUUAUAGGUCCCUUUUAUUUAACUUCUAAGAAACGAGACAUUCAUGUAAAUUUAUUACUUAUCGUAGACGAUGAAAGAAUGAUCAAACAUUACUGUCUGAUAAGCAACAUUUCUCGAUUAAUAAGUUCACAACUUUCCAAACAUAAUCAUGCUAAAUUUAUAUGUAACGGUUGUCUAUUAUUUUUUUCGAGUGAACAAAAAUUAGUUAAACAUCGUAAGUAUGCUUGUAAUGAAGUUGUCACUACAUUACCAACUUCUGAUCUGAUUAUAAAUAAAUUUGGUAAAGAAGUGCCUGGUAAUGAAUUAACAUUUCAAAAUUUUGAUAAAUCUCUUAAAGUUCCUUUUGUAUUUUAUUUCGAUUUUGAAUCUAUUUUAAAACCUUUACGCAAUGAUAAUUCAGCCGAUAAUAUCCGUACAAUUGUUACACAUUUACAUGAACCAUAUAGUUUCGGAUAUUACAUAAAAUGUGCAUAUAAUGAUAAUUUAUCAAUUUAUCGGACUUAUCGAGGAAAAGAUGCUCCUAAAAUUUUUGUGAAAUGGUUGCAAGAUGAUGUAAAUAGACUUUAUCACGAUCACCUCAAACAUAUCGUACCACUUGAAAUGACUCCGUUAGAUGAAUUGGUUUUUCAAAUAUCUACCCAUUGUCAUUUAUGUAAAGAACCUUUCAAAACAGAUUACGGAAGUCUAAAUUGUGAUAGAGUUCGUAAUCAUUGUCACUUAACAGGUGAAUUUUUAGGACCUGCACAUUCUAUUUGUAAUUUAAAUUAUAAGAUUCCAAAAUAUAUCCCUGUUUUUUGUCAUAAUUUAACUAAUUAUGAUAGUCAUUUAUUUAUUAAAGCUUUAGCAACAGAAAAGACCAUCAUUAAUUGCAUUGCUCAAACUAAAGAAAAGUAUAUUACAUUUUCAAAAAAAAUUUUAGUUGAUAAGGUCAUGAACACGACUACAAAUACAGUUGACAAUAUUUUUAUAACGCUUAGAUUCGUAGAUUCGUUCCGUUUCCUUUCUUUUUCAUUAGAUAAAUUAUCUCAGACUUUAACUUCUAAUGAAUGUCUAACCAUUCGGAAACACUUUCCGGACGAUAACCAAUUUAAUUUGAUAAGACAAAAAGGUGUUUUUCCAUAUUCAUAUUUGGAUUGUUUUAAUAAGUUAGAUGAUACCAGUUUACCAUUGAUUCAACAAUUUUAUGAUAAUCUUAAUAAAACUGAUAUCAGUGAACAUGAUUAUGAGCGAGCACAGGAAGUCUGGAAUCUAUUUGAUUGCAAAACGUUAGGUGAUUAUUCCGACAUUUAUUUAAAGUCUGAUGUUUUGUUACUAACAGACAUUUUUGAAAAUUUCAGAAAGGUUUGUCUCAAAAUUUAUGAACUAGAUCCAGCUCAUUACUUAACAGCACCUUCAUUAGGCUGGGAUGCUAUGUUAAAAAUGACUGGAAUUAAAUUCGAAUUGUUAACUGAUAUAGACAUGGUACAUUUCUUUCGAAAAUCUAUUAGAGGAGGACUUUGUCAAUGUUCAAAACGUAAAGCAGUAGCAAAUAAUAAGUUUUUAUCAAAUCAUGAUCCUUCUAAACCAACUUCUUUUAUAAUGUACCUUGAUGCAACCAACUUGUAUGGAGCAGCAAUGUCUGAAUAUUUACCUUAUAGCGGUUUUCGAUGGGAAGAUCCUAAUGAAUUCAAUGAUAACCUAAUUCUCAAUUUGACAGAUAACGCUGAUGUAGGUUAUAUAUUCGAAGUUGAUUUAGAAUAUCCUUCUGAAUUACAUAAUCUUCACAACGAUUUACCAUUUUGUCCUGAAAAAUUUAUUCCUCCCUCUAGUAAAACUGAGAAACUUUGCGCAACCUUGAACAAUAAAGUACACUAUGUUUUACAUUAUCGAAAUUUAAGACAAGCUAUACAAGGUGGUUUAAAAUUAAUUAAUAUUCACCGUGUUUUAAGUUUUAAUCAAUCACCAUGGUUGAAAACAUAUAUUGAUUUAAAUACAGAAAUGCGUAACAAAUCAAAAAACGCGUUAGAAAAAGAUGUAUUUAAAUUAAUGAAUAAUUCAGUUUUUGGUAAAACCAUGGAAUCAAUUGAUAAAAGAGUAAACGUGAAAUUGGUAACAUCAUGGAAUAAUAUAGGUAGAAAACCAGGUGCUGAAAGUUUAAUUGCACGACCAAAUUUUAAAAAUUCAUCUAUCUUUACACCAAAUUUUGUAGCUAUUCAAUUAGAGAACGAAAAAGUUUUCUACAAUAAACCUCUGUAUGUAGGUUUUACUAUUCUAGAUAUCAGUAAAACUAUUAUGUAUGAUUUUUAUUAUAAUUUCAUAAAACUUAAAUACGGUAACAAUGCAACGCUUUUGUAUACCGAUACUGAUAGUUUAGUAAUUGAAAUUUUUUGUGAAAAUAUUUAUGAUGAUAUUAAAUCUAAUAUAGAGCGUUUUGAUACUUCAAAUUAUAAAGCAGAAAAUAUUCAUGGAAUACCUGUAUCGUCUUCUGUCAUCGGGAAGAUGAAAGAUGAAUAUAAAGGACGUGUAAUAUCAGAAUUUUUAGGAACAGGUGCUAAAGCAUAUUGUGUGGAUGUUGAAGGUGAAUUAUCUAAAAAAGCUAAGGGUAUUAAACACAAUGUAAUUACAAGUGAAUUACAUAAAAUUGACUACCAAAACGCAGUUACUGUUCCAAACACUGAAAUUAUUAAAGAAAUGAAUAUCUUUCGUUCGAAGCUUCAUAACAUUUACACAGAAUUAAAGAAAAAAAUUGCUUUAUCUUUCAAAGAUGAUAAACGUUACAUCUUAAACAAUUCUGAAGGUAGAACAUUAUCUUGGGGUCAUAAAAAUAUUCUUCCUCAAACUCAGGAAUAAUAUUUAAUUUGUAUUGUAGUUAUUGUAUUAUAAUGUUUAUGUAUUAUAAUAUGUAUGUAUGUAUGUACUUAUAUUUAGAUGUAAUAAACAAUUAAAGUAAUUUAUUGUUUUUAUUAUUAUCCAUUAACCAAAUAGCUUAUGUGAAUUUGUUUCAGGUUUCCAAAAUAGACAGCACUAUCCACUCUACCUACCUGAGGUUCGACUCCCCAUGGAAGGAACAACAACAACAACAACUUUUUUUGCAUUAUAUUUUAAACAAAUAACAAAAUAAACUUGGUGCGCAACAGACAAGUUAGGCAAACAACAUUACAAAAAUAAAAAACUA